Molecule: small RNA, 532 nt
Filed under: Pongo abelii (Sumatran orangutan)
Lineage: Eukaryota; Metazoa; Chordata; Mammalia; Primates; Hominidae
Description: processed transcript
Source: RNAcentral
AUUUCCGGGAAGAUGGCGGCGCACAAGUCAGGUCCGGCACAUGUUUCCGCGGAAAGGACCCCGCAAUGACGGAUGAUAUCACCUCUUCUUCUCUGUUGAGAGUCUGAGGAUAGAAACUUUUUUCUCACCAUGAAUGUCACCCCAGAGGUCAAGAGUCGUGGGAUGAAGUUUGCUGAGGAGCAGCUGCUAAAGCAUGGAUGGACUCAAGGUGGGACAUGACCCUGCCAAGGAGUUCACAAACCACUGGUGGAAUGAGCUCUUCAACAAGACUGCGGCCAACUUGGUAGUGGAAACUGGGCAGGAUGGAGUACAGAUAAGGAGCCUUUCUAAGGAGACCACCCGUUAUAAUCAUCCCAAGCCCAACCUGCUGUAUCAGAAGUUUGUGAAGAUGGCUACAUUGACUUCAGGUGGAGAGAAGCCAAACAAAGACUUGGAGAGCUGCAGUGAUGACGACAACCAGGGGCCCAAGUCCCCAAAGAUUCUGACUGAUGAGAUGCUGCUCCAAGCCUGUGAGGGGCGAACAGCACACAAG